This 54-nucleotide ribosomal RNA is filed under the name uncultured eukaryote. RNAcentral describes it as "partial 5.8S ribosomal RNA". The record is from RNAcentral.
UUAAGGCACUCGAAGGUGAACCUCUUGGCUCGAGCAUUGAUGAAGACCGCAGCU